CCGUCAGCUGUUUUUGUGCUGCUGAGCAAUAUCCUUGGAGGGGCCCAGCAGAGGUCAAGCCGACAAGGAGCAGAAGAGAAAACAAGAGAGGAGCAGGCGGGAGAAAAUGAGAUCCCUGCUGUCCCUCCGAUGCUUCACCACCUCCGCCCGGCAGCUGAAAAACAAAGUUCCUGAAUACCAGAAGCUCUUCCAGGUGGACAAUGAUUUGCCUGUGCAUCUGAAAAGGGGGACCACCGAUGUCGUGCUGUAUCGCAUCACCAUGGCCAUCGCAACCUUGGCCACCAGCUACGCCGUCUAUUCCUUGUACCUCCUUGG
Non-coding RNA from Python bivittatus (Burmese python), 315 nucleotides. NCBI's taxonomy places the organism in Eukaryota, Metazoa, Chordata, Lepidosauria, Squamata, Pythonidae. The record is from RefSeq and is a predicted model, not a curated record.